Molecule: ribosomal RNA, 468 nt
Filed under: uncultured bacterium
Lineage: Bacteria
Description: partial 16S ribosomal RNA
Rfam family: Bacterial small subunit ribosomal RNA
Source: RNAcentral
GACGAACGCUGGCGGCGUGCUUAACACAUGCAAGUCGAACGGAAAGGCCCUGCUUUUGUGGGGUGCUCGAGUGGCGAACGGGUGAGUAGCACGUGAGUAACCUGCCCUUGACUUUGGGAUAACUUCAGGAAACUGGGGCUAAUACCGGAUAGGAGCUCCUGCUGCAUGGUGGGGGUUGGAAGGUUUCGGCGGUUGGGGAUGGACUCGCGGCUUAUCAGCUUGUUGGUGGGGUAGUGGCUUACCAAGGCUUUGACGGGUAGCCGGCCUGAGAGGGUGACCGGCCACAUUGGGACUGAGAUACGGCCCAGACUCCUACGGGAGGCAGCAGUGGGGAAUAUUGCACAAUGGGCGGAAGCCUGAUGCAGCAACGCCGCGUGCGGGAUGACGGCCUUCGGGUUGUAAACCGCUUUCGCCUGUGACGAAGCGUGAGUGACGGUAAUGGGUAAAGAAGCACCGGCUAACUACGUG